CAAGCACAAUGUUCUUCAUGAGUCAACGCUCGCGGCUAAACUGACAAUUAGCUACUAGCCAGGGAUAUUAUCCUCAAAAGGAAUUUAUCAGUCAAUUGCUGUUAAAAACAGGUGUAAAUUCAGACCAAGGCUAGUGUACGAAAGGACAGGAAGGGGGUCUGAGAUUUGGAAAGACAACUCCACUUCCUGUGUCAUGGGAGCUAUCCCAGACUAUCACCUGUGUCCGGUGGUCCUCUACCCCGCCAUUCACAGGCAGCAGCAAGGAAGAACCGGGGAUCUGAGAGAAGAGGACCAUGGGAGAAUGAUAAGCCGAUAGCCAGAAAACAGCACCUCCAAGCCCAGACUCCAAGAUAGUGGGCCAACCACAGAGAUCCAUGCUGGAUUAGUGUAGAACAAAAGAUUGCCUUGAAAGGGCUGAACACGGCAGUUGACCCAGGGAUGAAUAACGGUGUGAUCUCCAUGGUGGGGGUCAGCUGUGGUACUUCCGGUUCUUCACGAGAGGCUCCAUCCUGUCAGACCGCUACCUUGCUCAUCUCGAAAGAACUAAACUGAAGAUACUUCCUGCUAAAGACACUUUAGACUCUCCUUGCCUGUUUGUCAAGAUGUAUCUAGAUUUACAGUAUAUCCUGGAGGAAUCAGGCUUUACACUGAGGACACUGACCAAGGUCUUAUUCACUAUCGUCUAAUGUUACGUUUUUUGGUCUAUUAAGAUACCAAAGGCCUGUGCCCGAACCUCUACAACAUUUGUAGACUGUUUUUGUUUCAUUAGUGUGCUCAUAAAA
Osmerus eperlanus (European smelt) is the source of this 782-nucleotide long non-coding RNA. RefSeq lists it as uncharacterized. The transcript is spliced from 3 exons. NCBI's taxonomy places the organism in Eukaryota, Metazoa, Chordata, Actinopteri, Osmeriformes, Osmeridae. The record is from RefSeq and is a predicted model, not a curated record.